RNAcentral lists this ribosomal RNA (253 nucleotides) under uncultured bacterium. RNAcentral describes it as "partial 16S ribosomal RNA". It matches the Rfam family "Bacterial small subunit ribosomal RNA", at positions 524 to 776 of the family's 1533-position model. The record is from RNAcentral.
UACGUAGGGGGCUAGCGUUGUCCGGAAUCAUUGGGCGUAAAGCGCGUGUAGGCGGUUCGGUAAGUCCGCUGUGAAAGUCGGGGGCUCAACCCUCGAAUGCCGGUGGAUACUGUCGGACUAGAGUACGGAAGAGGCGAGUGGAAUUCCUGGUGUAGCGGUGAAAUGCGUAGAUAUCUGGAGGAACACCGGUGGCGAAGGCGGCGUCCUGGACCAACACUGACACUGAUGAGCGAAAGCCAGGGGAGCAAACGGG